CCUACGGGAGGCAGCAGUGAGGAAUAUUGGUCAAUGGACGCGAGUCUGAUCCAGCCAAGUAGCGUGAAGGAUGACUGCCCUAUGGGUUGUAAACUUCUUUUAUAUGGGAAUAAAACAGGGUAUGCAUACCCUUUUGUAUGUACCAUAUGAAUAAGGAUCGGCUAACUCCGUGCCAGCAGCCGAGGUAAUACGGUGGAUCCGAGAGUUAUCCGGAUUUAUUGGGUUUAAAGGGAGCGUAGGUGGAUUGUUAAGUCAGUUGUGAAAGUUUGCGGCUCAACCGUAAAAUUGCAGUUGAAACUGGCAGUCUUGAGUACAGUAGAGGUGGGCGGAAUGCGUGGUGUAGCGGUGAAAUGCUUAGAUAGCACGAAGAACUCCGAUUGCGAAGGCAGCUCACUGGACUGCAACUGACACUGAUGCUCGAAAGUGUGGGUAUCAAACAGGAUUAGAUACCCUGGUAGUC
RNAcentral lists this ribosomal RNA (460 nucleotides) under uncultured bacterium. Its description in RNAcentral is "partial 16S ribosomal RNA". It matches the Rfam family "Bacterial small subunit ribosomal RNA", at positions 338 to 795 of the family's 1533-position model. The record is from RNAcentral.